This 420-nucleotide ribosomal RNA is filed under the name uncultured Glomeraceae. RNAcentral's name for it is "SSU rRNA". It matches the Rfam family "Eukaryotic small subunit ribosomal RNA", at positions 459 to 885 of the family's 1831-position model. The record is from RNAcentral. Lineage: Eukaryota; Fungi; Glomeromycota; Glomeromycetes; Glomerales; Glomeraceae.
GGGAGGUAGUGACAAUAAAUAACAAUACAGGGUUCUUUCGGAUCUUGUAAUUGGAAUGAGUACAAUUUAAAUCUCUUAACGAGGAACAAUUGGAGGGCAAGUCUGGUGCCAGCAGCCGCGGUAAUUCAGCUCCAAUAGCGUAUAUUAAAGUUGUUGCAGUUAAAAAGCUCGUAGUUGAAUUUCGGGAUCAAUAUGUCGGUCGUACCUUUGGUACGUACUGGCAUCAUUGGUUUCUCCCUUCUGACAAACCAUGAUGUCAUUAAUUUGGUGUUAUGGGGAGUUAGGACUGUUACUUUGAAAAAUUAGAGUGUUUAAAGCAGGCAUUAGCUUGAAUACAUUAGCAUGGAAUAAUGAAAUAGGACGUUUGACCCUAUUUUGUUGGUUUCUAGGAUCGACGUAAUGAUUAAUAGGAUAGUUGGG